AGGACGAACGCUGGCGGCGUGCUUAACACAUGCAAGUCGAGCGGAAAGGCCCUUCGGGGUACUCGAGCGGCGAACGGGUGAGUAACACGUGAGCAACCUGCCCUUAGCUCCGGGAUAGCUCCGGGAAACCGGAAUUAAUACCGGAUACGACCACGGCCGACAUCUGCUGUGGUGGAAAGGAUUCCGGCUAAGGAUGGGCUCGCGGCCUAUCAGCUAGUUGGUGGGGUAAUGGCCCACCAAGGCGACGACGGGUAGCCGGCCUGAGAGGGCGACCGGCCACACUGGGACUGAGACACGGCCCAGACUCCUACGGGAGGCAGCAGUGGGGAAUAUUGCGCAAUGGGCGAAAGCCUGACGCAGCGACGCCGCGUGGGGGAUGAAGGCCUUCGGGUUGUAAACCCCUUUCAGCAGGGACGAAGCGAAAGUGACGGUACCUGCAGAAGAAGCGCCGGCUAACUACGCGCCAACAGCCGC
This 474-nucleotide ribosomal RNA is filed under the name uncultured bacterium. RNAcentral's name for it is "SSU rRNA". It matches the Rfam family "Bacterial small subunit ribosomal RNA", at positions 26 to 518 of the family's 1533-position model. The record is from RNAcentral.